Molecule: ribosomal RNA, 433 nt
Filed under: uncultured bacterium
Lineage: Bacteria
Description: partial 16S ribosomal RNA
Rfam family: Bacterial small subunit ribosomal RNA
Source: RNAcentral
AACGAACGCUGGCGGCAUGCCUAACACAUGCAAGUCGAACGAGACCUUCGGGUCUAGUGGCGCACGGGUGCGUAACGCGUGGGAACCUGCCCUUAGGUUCGGAAUAACUCCCCGAAAGGGGUGCUAAUACCGGAUAAUGUCUUCGGACCAAAGAUUUAUCGCCUUUGGAUGGGCCCGCGCUGGAUUAGCUAGUUGGUAGGGUAAAAGCCUACCAAGGCGACGAUCCAUAGCUGGUCUGAGAGGAUGAUCAGCCACACUGGGACUGAGACACGGCCCAGACUCCUACGGGAGGCAGCAGUGGGGAAUAUUGGACAAUGGGCGAAAGCCUGAUCCAGCAAUGCCGCGUGAGUGAUGAAGGCCUUAGGGUUGUAAAGCUCUUUUACCCGGGAUGAUAAUGGCAGUACCGGGAGAAUAAGCUCCGGCUAACUCCGUG